RNAcentral lists this ribosomal RNA (253 nucleotides) under uncultured bacterium. RNAcentral's name for it is "partial 16S ribosomal RNA". It matches the Rfam family "Bacterial small subunit ribosomal RNA", at positions 524 to 776 of the family's 1533-position model. The record is from RNAcentral.
UACAGAGGGGGCAAGCGUUGUCCGGAACCAUUGGGCGUAAAGAGCGUGUAGGCGGUCCGGUCAGUCGGUUGCGAAAGUCAAGGGCUCAACCCUUGAAUGCCGGCCGAUACUGCCGGGCUAGAGUCCGGAAGAGGUGAGUGGAAUUCCUGGUGUAGCGGUGAAAUGCGCAGAUAUCAGGAGGAACACCGAUGGCGAAGGCAGCUCACUGGGACGGUACUGACGCUGAGACGCGAAAGCGUGGGGAGCAAACAGG